UCAUUCUUUCUUUCAACAGACUCGGAGUGUCUGCCCUGGGCCAGGAACUCUGCCUGACCUCCCAGAUGAGUGUCAUUAUGAUGCUUAAAUGAGGUAAUCUAUUGAGGACCUAACCCAGACACCUGGGACACAGGAGGCACCUGUCAGUGGUGGGUGCCAUCAUUCUCCAUUCUCCUGAAGAUGCCAGGCUGUCUUAUCUCCAUCGUGCUAAGGAGGACAAGGCAGCAUCUCCAGUGCCCAGCACAGAACCCCAAUAAGUGCUUACUGAAGGAAUUGAAUAAUAACCAUUUGUUUAAGGACAGUGUCUUCACUUGAGCAAUACUUCAUAAAACUCCAGUGCACAGCAAAGUCUCUGCCAGAAGGUGGGAAAUGCACACUCCUAGGCCCACAGCCAGAGAUUCUGAUCCUGCUGUACUGGUGGGCCCAGGAACCCACGCUGUUAUAGCUCUUCAGGCAAUUCUGGAAUAACUGGUGUUCACUGUGAGAAGCUCUAACCCCAAUGGAAGAGAGAAGGGAACUCAUAGACAGAGCCGUAUGUGGGAACUGGAUGAAGAACUCAUUAUCCCCUGAGGUCAGGACGACUGUCUGAUAGAUGGUGCUGGAAAACUCCCUCACUCCAUGGAGAAAAAUGGAGACGUGAAUAGAGAAAGACCAGGUUCUUAACAGCCAUAUGAAGAUGGACUCCAGAUGAAUCAAAGCAUACCAUAAAAGGGAAAACUAGAACUCAAUUAAGGUAUAGGAGAAUAUCUUUAUGACUUCAGGAUAUGGAAGGAUUUCUUAAACAAAGCCCCCAAAACACACAAAAAUAAGGCAAAAUGGUGAAUUUCAGUAAAUCAAAAUUAAGGAUUUCUGUUCCAAGAAAUGUAGAUAAGCUUAAAGGAUAGAGGACAAAAUGGGAGCAUUGCAAUUUCUAAACCCGGCCAAGAAUCUAGAAUAUAUA
Molecule: long non-coding RNA, 940 nt
Organism: Homo sapiens (human)
Lineage: Eukaryota; Metazoa; Chordata; Mammalia; Primates; Hominidae
Exons: 3
Source: RefSeq, a predicted model, not a curated record